Non-coding RNA from Myotis brandtii (Brandt's bat), 73 nucleotides. The record is from Rfam. NCBI's taxonomy places the organism in Eukaryota, Metazoa, Chordata, Mammalia, Chiroptera, Vespertilionidae.
GGCGGUUCUUGGGUGACGCCCCUCAGAAUCAGGCUCCCUCCUCUGAUUCCCGGUGGGUCACCCAAGAAUCGCA